This 607-nucleotide long non-coding RNA is filed under the name Gossypium raimondii (Peruvian cotton). Its description in RNAcentral is "long non-coding RNA (GRAI_LNC000100)". Lineage: Eukaryota; Viridiplantae; Streptophyta; Magnoliopsida; Malvales; Malvaceae. The record is from RNAcentral.
AAAAUUUUGUUUCGGCCCCAAAACUUUUGCUGCAUUUACAAAUUGGUCCUUCUGUCAGAAAAUCCCCAAUAAUCAGGCGGAUUUCGUGCACCUGCCCCCACGAUUUCCGGCCGCCGGCUUAGGGCAUGGCCUUCCCCACCUGCUACCUGCAAAAAAGAAGCAAAACCAACUAUAAAAAGGAGUUUAAACUCCAAAAAAAAGACCCCCGCCCCCCCUCCCGGCGAAUCAAAAAAGAAAAAGAAAAAGAAAGUUUCAAAAAAAUUUUCAGCAGCAAAAAGAAAGAGGAGAAAGAGAAAGAGGAAAGAAAGGAAGAGAGGGGAGGAGCGACGACGGUGCAACCAAGGCGUAAAGAAGAAGAAGAAGAAGAAGAAGAAGAAAGAAGAAAGAAGAAGUAAGAAAAAGAGAAAAAGAGAAAAAAAAGAAAAAGGAAAAAGAAAAAUAAUAAAGCAGUCGGGUCGAACCGACCCGACCCAUCCGGCUCAAAACCCGACCCGAGCAGCAGACCCGACCCAGCGAGCCCAUUAGUCAAGCCCAAAGCAGCCCAAAAAAAAUAAAGAAAAAAAACAAAGCAAAAAAAAAAGCAGCAAAAAAAAGGGGGCAGGCCAAC